AAUAGAUACCCGGGUGGUCCACGCCGUAAACGAUGAGUGCUAAGUGUUAGGGGGUUUCCGCCCCUUAGUGCUGCAGCUAACGCAUUAAGCACUCCGCCUGGGGAGUACGGUCGCAAGACUGAAACUCAAAGGAAUUGACGGGGGCCCGCACAAGCGGUGGAGCAUGUGGUUUAAUUCGAAGCAACGCGAAGAACCUUACCAGGUCUUGACAUCCCAUUGACCGCUAUGGAGACAUAGUUUUCCCUUCGGGGACAGUGGUGACAGGUGGUGCAUGGUUGUCGUCAGCUCGUGUCGUGAGAUGUUGGGUUAAGUCCCGCAACGAGCGCAACCCUUGAUCUUAGUUGCCAUCAUUUAGUUGGGCACUCUAAGGUGACUGCCGGUGACAAACCGGAGGAAGGUGGGGAUGACGUCAAAUCAUCAUGCCCCUUAUGACCUGGGCUACACACGUGCUACAAUGGAUGGUACAAAGGGCUGCAAGACCGCGAGGUCAAGCCAAUCCCAUAAAACCAUUCUCAGUUCGGAUUGUAGG
This 529-nucleotide ribosomal RNA is filed under the name uncultured bacterium. RNAcentral describes it as "bacterial SSU rRNA". It matches the Rfam family "Bacterial small subunit ribosomal RNA", at positions 777 to 1304 of the family's 1533-position model. The record is from RNAcentral.